This 305-nucleotide ribosomal RNA is filed under the name uncultured bacterium. RNAcentral describes it as "partial 16S ribosomal RNA". It matches the Rfam family "Bacterial small subunit ribosomal RNA", at positions 508 to 809 of the family's 1533-position model. The record is from RNAcentral.
ACAGCAGCCGCCACGGUAAUACGUAGGUGGCAAGCGUUGUCCGGAAUUAUUGGGCGUAAAGCGCGCGCAGGUGGUUUAAUAAGUCUGAUGUGAAAGCCCACGGCUCAACCGUGGAGGGUCAUUGGAAACUGUUAAACUUGAGUGCAGGAGAGAAAAGUGGAAUUCCUAGUGUAGCGGUGAAAUGCGUAGAGAUUAGGAGGAACACCAGUGGCGAAGGCGGCUUUUUGGCCUGUAACUGACACUGAGGCGCGAAAGCGUGGGGAGCAAACAGGAUUAGAUACCCCUGUAGUCCCUGUCUCUUAUAA